This 238-nucleotide ribosomal RNA is filed under the name uncultured bacterium. RNAcentral's name for it is "partial 16S ribosomal RNA". It matches the Rfam family "Bacterial small subunit ribosomal RNA", at positions 96 to 334 of the family's 1533-position model. The record is from RNAcentral.
CGGCGGACGGGUGAGUAACGCGUGGGUAACCUACCCUGUACACACGGAUAACAUACCGAAAGGUAUGCUAAUACGGGAUAAUAUAUUUGAGAGGCAUCUCUUGAAUAUCAAAGGUGAGCCAGUACAGGAUGGACCCGCGUCUGAUUAGCUAGUUGGUAAGGUAACGGCUUACCAAGGCGACGAUCAGUAGCCGACCUGAGAGGGUGAUCGGCCACAUUGGAACCGAGACACGGUCCAA